GCGGACGUAGCUCAGUUGGUAGAGCGCAACCUUGCCAAGGUUGAGGUCGCGAGUUCGAACCUCGUCGUCCGCU
Transfer RNA from Streptomyces caeruleatus, 73 nucleotides. It matches the Rfam family "tRNA". Rfam says of the family: Transfer RNA (tRNA) molecules are approximately 80 nucleotides in length. Lineage: Bacteria; Bacillati; Actinomycetota; Actinomycetes; Kitasatosporales; Streptomycetaceae. The record is from Rfam.